This 889-nucleotide ribosomal RNA is filed under the name Cytidiella albomellea. RNAcentral describes it as "Cytidiella sp. YL-2021b partial large subunit ribosomal RNA". It matches the Rfam family "Eukaryotic large subunit ribosomal RNA", at positions 65 to 964 of the family's 3401-position model. Lineage: Eukaryota; Fungi; Basidiomycota; Agaricomycetes; Polyporales; Irpicaceae. The record is from RNAcentral.
CUAACAAGGAUUCCCCUAGUAACUGCGAGUGAAGCGGGAAAAGCUCAAAUUUAAAAUCUGGCGGCCUUGGUCGUCCGAGUUGUAUUCUAGAGAAGUGUUUUCCGCGUUGGACCGUGUACAAGUCUCUUGGAACAGAGCGUCAUAGAGGGUGAGAAUCCCGUCUUUGACACGGACUACCAAUGCUUUGUGAUGCGCUCUCAAAGAGUCGAGUUGUUUGGGAAUGCAGCUCAAAAUGGGUGGUAAAUUCCAUCUAAAGCUAAAUAUUGGCGAGAGACCGAUAGCGAACAAGUACCGUGAGGGAAAGAUGAAAAGCACUUUGGAAAGAGAGUUAAACAGUACGUGAAAUUGCUGAAAGGGAAACGCUUGAAGUCAGUCGCGUCGUCUAGAACUCAGCCAGGUUUACUUGGUGCAUUUUCUAGUUGACGGGCCAGCAUCAGUUUUGACUGCAGGAAAAAGGCCGGAGAAAUGUGGCAUCUUCGGAUGUGUUAUAGUCUCUGGUUGCAUACUGUGGUUGGGAUUGAGGCUCUCAGCACGCUUUUGUUGUGCUUAGGAUGCUGGCGUAAUGGCUUUAAACGACCCGUCUUGAAACACGGACCAAGGAGUCUAACAAAUCUGCGAGUAUUUGGGUGGUAAACCCGAGUGCGCAAUGAAAGUGAAAGUUGGGAUCUCUGUCGCGGAGAGCACCGACGCCCGGACCAGACCUUUUGUGACGGAUCUGCGGUAGAGCAUAUUUGUUGGGACCCGAAAGAUGGUGAACUAUGCCUGAAUAGGUGAAGCCAGAGGAAACUCUGGUGGAGGCUCGUAGCGAUUCUGACGUGCAAAUCGAUCGUCAAAUUUGGGUAUAGGGGCGAAAGACUAAUCGAACCAUCUAGUAGCUGGUUCCUGCCGA